AGUAGGGAAGGGAUAUCUAACUCUUCGGUCAAUAGAUUAGGUAGCUUAGUUUGGACUUAGGAUCAUUAGAAAUUCCCGGUUUUUUUUUGUUUGCUCUUUUGGUUUGGGCAUCCUAGAUUUCUCUUGCAUUUUCUCCAUUUCACUCUCUUUAUGAAUGCAUAUGAGAUCGCAUUCCUUUUAUGGAUAACCGAUUGGAUAAAUUUGCAACGUAUCCAUCACUGAACCCGACGUAGUCCCAGAGGUACUUCAUCAGAUUAACUUACAUGGAGCCCGAUCCAAAUAUAUAGAACUCGGCUGGUGCAGUAAAUUCAGGCAGAGUUCUGUUUGUAUUUCGACCAAUUCCAGGCAUGUUUCAGGCUUCUCUCUGCUUCAUACCUGUUAAGAACCUAACAUACAUCUAUUUGUUCUUGUGUAGCUUCAGUCCAACUUCUCAUUACAUCUUAGACUCUUUCUAAUCCAUAGCAACGAUUUAGUCUGUAGUUCAGCUCACCGUAAACCCAUCAAACAACAGCGACAGUAUCAUCUACUUCUCCAUCUCUGAAUUUUAACAUAAACCCAUGAAUAUCAAACGCCAGGAAAUCUACAAACCCUUAAACAAUCUCCAUCUGUUUCAUCCACUGAGUUCGAUGGCGUCAGCUCCAAUUCUUCACUGUUGACUCUAAAUCGAGGAAAACCCAUUUCAAUUUCAGCUUCGACUCCUUCUUCAGUUCAAUCAAUUUCCAUCUGCAAUGUCUUCUCAAACCCUAAAUCACCUUCAACAACACCACCAACCCAUGAAAAUCACCAUCUUCGGUUCAACAGCAGGUUCAUCAUCAUCUUCUCUGCAAUUCCAUCUUUAAUCAUCUCAGAUUCAGAAUAAAACCCAUCUUCAAUUAACUCACAGAUUCAAACCAAAAACCCAUUUCGA
Papaver somniferum (opium poppy) is the source of this 907-nucleotide long non-coding RNA. RefSeq lists it as uncharacterized. The transcript is spliced from 3 exons. The record is from RefSeq and is a predicted model, not a curated record. NCBI's taxonomy places the organism in Eukaryota, Viridiplantae, Streptophyta, Magnoliopsida, Ranunculales, Papaveraceae.